Molecule: ribosomal RNA, 580 nt
Filed under: uncultured bacterium
Lineage: Bacteria
Description: bacterial SSU rRNA
Rfam family: Bacterial small subunit ribosomal RNA
Source: RNAcentral
ACGGGUGAGUAACAUUUAGGAAUCUGCCUAGUAGUGGGGGAUAGCUCGGGGAAACUCGAAUUAAUACCGCAUACGACCUACGGGUGAAAGGGGGCGCAAGCUCUUGCUAUUAGAUGAGCCUAAAUCAGAUUAGCUAGUUGGUGGGGUAAAGGCCCACCAAGGCGACGAUCUGUAACUGGUCUGAGAGGAUGAUCAGUCACACCGGAACUGAGACACGGUCCGGACUCCUACGGGAGGCAGCAGUGGGGAAUAUUGGACAAUGGGGGCAACCCUGAUCCAGCCAUGCCGCGUGUGUGAAGAAGGCCUUUUGGUUGUAAAGCACUUUAAGCAGGGAGGAGAGGCUAAUGGUUAAUACCCAUUAGAUUAGACGUUACCUGCAGAAUAAGCACCGGCUAACUCUGUGCCAGCAGCCGCGGUAAUACAGAGGGUGCGAGCGUUAAUCGGAAUUACUGGGCGUAAAGCGAGUGUAGGUGGCUCAUUAAGUCACAUGUGAAAUCCCCGGGCUUAACCUGGGAACUGCAUGUGAUACUGGUGGUGCUAGAAUAUGUGAGAGGGAAGUAGAAUUCCAGGUGUAGCAGUG